RNAcentral lists this ribosomal RNA (438 nucleotides) under Nemopilema nomurai. RNAcentral describes it as "partial 16S ribosomal RNA". It matches the Rfam family "Bacterial large subunit ribosomal RNA", at positions 1946 to 2515 of the family's 2925-position model. Lineage: Eukaryota; Metazoa; Cnidaria; Scyphozoa; Rhizostomeae; Rhizostomatidae. The record is from RNAcentral.
CCGUGAUAAAGUAGCAUAAUCACUCGUCAUUUAAUUGGUGACUGGAAUGAAUGGUUACACGAAUCUUUAACUGUCUCAAGAAGAAAGUUCAAUUAAUUUGAAAAAACAGUGAAGAUGCUGUUAACAAAAUCGUAAGACGAAAAGACCCUUUCGAGCUUUACUAUAAGCUUAUAGAAAAAAUCUUUAAUAAAAAUAUAAUAAAAACAAACUGUAAGCUAGUUAGUUUGGUUGGGGCGACCACCUCUAAAACAGUAUCAGAGGAAAUCUAAAGGUAUAAUAGUAAUAUUAAUUGCCUUACUGUAUACAAACAAGUUAAUCAGUUACUAUUAUGUAGGAUAUAAUGACCCGUUGAAUUAAUUUCAAAAUUCAACGACCAUGAAAAAAGUUACCGUAGGGAUAACAGGGUAAUAUUAUCAAAGAGUUCAUAUCGAUGAUGAU